GACGAACGCUGGCGGCGUGCUUAACACAUGCAAGUCGAACGGUGAAGCGCCUUCCUUUUUGGUGGGUGUGGAUGAGUGGCGAACGGGUGAGUAACACGUGAGUAACCUGCCCCCUUCUUCUGGAUAACCUCAUGAAAGUGUGGCUAAUACGGGAUAUUCUGGGUCUGUCGCAUGAUGGGUCUGGGAAAGAUAUUGUUUCGGUGGGGGAUGGGCUCGCGGCCUAUCAGCUUGUUGGUGGGGUGAUGGCCUGCCAAGGCGGUGACGGGUAGCCGGCCUGAGAGGGUGGACGGUCACGAGGGGAAUGAGACACGGUCGGGACGCGUACGGGAGGCAGCAGUGGGGAAUAUUGGACGUUGGGAGUAAGGCUGAUGCAGCGAAGGCGCGUGAGGGAUGCAGGGCUUCGGGGUGUGAACCUCUUUCGCUAGUGAAGGAGGCCUGCAUGGUUUGUGGGUGGGUUGACGGUAGCUGGAUAAGAAGCGCCGGCUAACUACGUG
RNAcentral lists this ribosomal RNA (494 nucleotides) under uncultured bacterium. RNAcentral describes it as "partial 16S ribosomal RNA". It matches the Rfam family "Bacterial small subunit ribosomal RNA", at positions 28 to 507 of the family's 1533-position model. The record is from RNAcentral.